This 110-nucleotide long non-coding RNA is filed under the name Dasypus novemcinctus (nine-banded armadillo). Its description in RNAcentral is "lncRNA (ENSDNOG00000050859.1)". The record is from RNAcentral. Lineage: Eukaryota; Metazoa; Chordata; Mammalia; Cingulata; Dasypodidae.
CUGCCAGUGGAGACCAGAAAGAUGGGGAAAUGUACAGGAAGAACACUCUUUCUCAGACCCCAUGGAUUGCAUUGUUCAUUGCUAUAUCAAGUGACCAUGCACUACAUCCA